GCAGUAGCCGCGGUAAUACGGAGGGAGCUAGCGUUGUUCGGAAUUACUGGGCGUAAAGCGCGCGUAGGCGGUUACUCAAGUCAGAGGUGAAAGCCCGGGGCUCAACCCCGGAACUGCCUUUGAAACUAGGUGGCUAGAAUCUUGGAGAGGUCAGUGGAAUUCCGAGUGUAGAGGUGAAAUUCGUAGAUAUUCGGAAGAACACCAGUGGCGAAGGCGACUGACUGGACAAGUAUUGACGCUGAGGUGCGAAAGCGUGGGGAGCAAACAGGAUUAGAUACCCGCGUAGUCCCUGUCUCUUAUAC
RNAcentral lists this ribosomal RNA (302 nucleotides) under uncultured bacterium. RNAcentral's name for it is "partial 16S ribosomal RNA". It matches the Rfam family "Bacterial small subunit ribosomal RNA", at positions 508 to 807 of the family's 1533-position model. The record is from RNAcentral.